AUGGCUUGGCUAAGUUGGGAGAAAAUGAAACUACCCAAAGCAAUGGGAGGCAUGGGUUUCAGGGAUAUGCAUGCUUUUAAUCAGGCGUUGUUAGCAAAACAGGCCUGGCGGUUUUUGGACAGUCCUGAUAGUCUAUGUGCUCAUUUACUGCGCGCAAAUUAUUUCCCUAAUGGGAAUUUGUUUGAUACAGUAUUUCCUAGCAGCUCUUCGGCGGUAUGGAAAGGUAUUGUUCAUGGACUUGAAUUGUUGAAGAAGGGCAUUAUCUGGCGGGUUGGUAUUGGUACACUAAUUAGAACCUGGCGGAACCCUUGGAUUCCGCGGGGUUAUGAUCUAAGACCAGUUACGCCAAAAAGGAAUUAUCGGUAUAAUUGGGCGGACUUUCUGGAUGAACAUGGAGCAUGGGAUGUGCAGAGAUUAAGAGAACACUUUUGGGACUUGGAUGUUAAUGAAAUUCUGAAAAUUAGGACGUCCCCAAGGAAUAGACAAGAUUUUCUUGCAUGGUUCCCGGAGAGGUCCGGAUGUUUCUCGGUCCGAAGUGCAUAUCGGCUAGCUACAGCUGAAAAAUAA
RNAcentral lists this ribosomal RNA (567 nucleotides) under Triticum aestivum (bread wheat). RNAcentral describes it as "partial small subunit ribosomal RNA". The record is from RNAcentral. Lineage: Eukaryota; Viridiplantae; Streptophyta; Magnoliopsida; Poales; Poaceae.